Molecule: long non-coding RNA, 359 nt
Filed under: Brassica rapa (field mustard)
Lineage: Eukaryota; Viridiplantae; Streptophyta; Magnoliopsida; Brassicales; Brassicaceae
Description: long non-coding RNA (BRAP_LNC008513)
Source: RNAcentral
GCCACUCUCCUAUCACCUCAACACUUGAAGCCGCCUUGGACAUUGCUUCUUCAUCCUUCAUCAUACUUCUCAACAGGUUGCUUCCUCUUCUAGAAUAACCACCAAUCUCUCUUGGAUCAUGUAAGCUUCAACACUCCCCCUCAAGCUUGGGACUCUCACAGGAACAAGCUUGAAUGGAUUGCUUCAUGAUCCUCACACACACACCAUUGCCGCUUCUCUUCUGAUCUUGCCAUCUUGAUGGAAUGCUUGUGGAAGCUUCAGCUAUCUCUCCAAUCACCUCACUCUUGAAGCCGCCUUGAUAGAGUAGCCUUCAUCUUCUCACAGCCAAGAGUACUCUGUCUUAGUUUGAGUACUCUCUU